Molecule: ribosomal RNA, 116 nt
Filed under: uncultured bacterium
Lineage: Bacteria
Description: partial 16S ribosomal RNA
Rfam family: Bacterial small subunit ribosomal RNA
Source: RNAcentral
CGUUCCCGGGCCUUGUACACACCGCCCGUCAAGUCAUGAAAGUCGGUUAACACCCGAAGCCGGUGGCCUAACCCUUGUGGAGGGAGCCGUCGAAGGUGGGAUCGGUGAUUAGGACU